ACACCUCAACUCUCAUGGCUUGCCGUGACGAGCUUGGACUUUGGGGGUCUUGUUGGCCUUUGAGCCGGCUCCUCUUAAAUGAAUCAGCUUGCCGGUGUUUGGUGGCAUCAUGGGUGUGAUAACUAUCUACGCUUGUGGUUUCCCACCAGGUAACCUUCAGCAAUGGAGGUUCGCUGGGGCUUAUAAAUAUCUCUCCUCAGUGAGGACAGAUUUUGACC
This 218-nucleotide unclassified non-coding RNA is filed under the name uncultured Tomentella. RNAcentral's name for it is "sequence contains ITS2". The record is from RNAcentral. Lineage: Eukaryota; Fungi; Basidiomycota; Agaricomycetes; Thelephorales; Thelephoraceae.